This 311-nucleotide ribosomal RNA is filed under the name uncultured Glomeromycotina. RNAcentral's name for it is "LSU rRNA". Lineage: Eukaryota; Fungi; Glomeromycota. The record is from RNAcentral.
UUGAAAGGGAAACGAUUGAAGUCAGUCAUGCCGGUGGGAAUCAACUUAGGGGAAACUCUAGGUGCACUUCUUCGCUUGGCAGGUCAAUGUCGAUUUUGAAUGUCAUAAAAUAAUUGGGGGAAGGUAGCUCCUUCGGGAGUGUUAUAGCCCUUGAUAGAUGUGAUGUUUGGGGUCGAGGAUUGCAACGGAUACCUCUGGGGCUAGCCGCCUGAUCUCUAAUCGGUGUUGGGUUACGGAUAGCAUGCUGACCGUGAUCUAAUUACUGGUUAAAAGGUUAGAGCGUGCAUAAAUUCGUUAAGGAUGUUGACGUA